UACGUAGGGUGCAAGCGUUAAUCGUAAUUACUGGGCGUAAAGCGUGCGCAGGCGGUUAUAUAAGACAGAUGUGAAAUCCCCGGGCUCAACCUGGGAACUGCAUUUGUGACUGUAUAGCUAGAGUACGGUAGAGGGGGAUGGAAUUCCGCGUGUAGCAGUGAAAUGCGUAGAUAUGCGGAGGAACACCGAUGGCGAAGGCAAUCCCCUGGACCUGUACUGACGCUCAUGCACGAAAGCGGGGGAGCAAACAGG
RNAcentral lists this ribosomal RNA (252 nucleotides) under uncultured bacterium. Its description in RNAcentral is "partial 16S ribosomal RNA". It matches the Rfam family "Bacterial small subunit ribosomal RNA", at positions 524 to 776 of the family's 1533-position model. The record is from RNAcentral.